This 848-nucleotide ribosomal RNA is filed under the name uncultured archaeon. RNAcentral describes it as "bacterial SSU rRNA". It matches the Rfam family "Archaeal small subunit ribosomal RNA", at positions 23 to 878 of the family's 1478-position model. The record is from RNAcentral.
CUGACUGCUAUCGGAUUGGUACUAAGCCAUGCGAGUCAUUGUAGCAAUACAAGGCGGACGGCUCAGUAACACGUAGUCAACCUAACUCGUGGACGUGGAUAACCUCGGGAAACUGAGAAUAAACCACGAUAGAUCAUAGUGCCUGGAAUGGCUUAUGGUCCAAACAGUUUACUGCCAUGGGAUGGGACUGCGGCCUAUCAGCUUGUUGGUGAGGUAAUGGCCCACCAAGGCGAUUACAGGUACGGGCUCUGAGAGGAGUAGCCCGGAGAUGGGUACUGAGACACGGACCCAGGCCCUAUGGGGCGCAGCAGGCGAGAAACCUUAGCAAUGUGCGAAAGCACGACUGGGUCAGUCCGAGUGAUUCCUGAUAAAGGAGUCUUUUGCCUGUCCUAAAAGCACAGGUGAAUAAGGGGUGGGCAAGUCUGGUGUCAGCCGCCGCGGUAAUACCAGCACCUCGAGUGGUCAGGACGUUUAUUGGGCCUAAAGCAUCCGUAGCCGGCUCUGCAAGUCUUCGGUUAAAUCCACCUGCUCAACAGAUGGGCCGCUGGAGAUACUACAGAGCUAGGGAGUGGGAGAGGCAGACGGUAUUCAGUGGGUAGGGGUAAAAUCCUCUGAUCCAUUGAGGACCACCAGUGGCGAAGGCGGUCUGCCAGAACACGUUCGACGGUGAGGGAUGAAAGCUGGGGGAGCAAACCGGAUUAGAUACCCGGGUAGUCCCAGCUGUAAACGAUGCAAACUCGGUGAUGCAUUGGCUUAUGGCCAAUGCAGUGCCGCAGGGAAGCCGUUAAGUUUGCCGCCUGGGAAGUACGGACGCAAGUCUGAAACUUAAAGGAAUUGGCGGGGGAGCA